GAUGAACGCUGGCGGCGUGCUUAACACAUGCAAGUCGAACGGAAAGGCCACAGCUUGCUGUGGUACUCGAGUGGCGAACGGGUGAGUAACACGUGUGUGAUCUGCCCUGUACUUCGGGAUAAGCUUGGGAAACUGGGUCUAAUACCGGAUAGGAAUCACAUGUGGGUGUGUGGUUGGAAAGCUUUUGCGGUAUGGGAUGAGCUCGCGGCCUAUCAGCUUGUUGGUGGGGUAUUGGCCUACCAAGGCGUCGACGGGUAGCCGGCCUGAGAGGGUGGACGGCCUCAUUGGGACUGAGAGACGGCGCAGACGCGUACGGGAGGCAGCGGGGGGGAAUAUUGCACAAUGGGCGCAAGCCUGAUGCAGCGACGCCGCGUGGGGGAUGACGGCCUUCGGGUUAUAAACUCCUGUCGUCAGGGACGAAGCGAAAGUGACGGUACCUGGAUAAGAAGCACCGGCUAACUACGUG
This 466-nucleotide ribosomal RNA is filed under the name uncultured bacterium. RNAcentral's name for it is "partial 16S ribosomal RNA". It matches the Rfam family "Bacterial small subunit ribosomal RNA", at positions 28 to 507 of the family's 1533-position model. The record is from RNAcentral.